This is a long non-coding RNA of Penaeus monodon (black tiger shrimp), 673 nucleotides long. RefSeq lists it as uncharacterized. The record is from RefSeq and is a predicted model, not a curated record. The transcript is spliced from 2 exons. Lineage: Eukaryota; Metazoa; Arthropoda; Malacostraca; Decapoda; Penaeidae.
CACAUUCUUCUUCGUCAAACACCACUGCAUGGAUCGUGCAUGAGAGAGAGAGCAAGACAGCUCAUGGCAUCGAUAUAAGAAAAGGCAGAACAGAGCACCUUAAGCAUGGAAACUGUCAUUUUCAGGCACGUUUCAGUCAUUCAACUACUGCCGCUGAUAAACAGAUGCCCGUGGGAAUGAAAUGUAAAAUAUUUUUUGACUUAUUGUUCACAAAAGUAUAAGAUAUGUCGUUUUUUUUUAUUUUCCUUUUUUUAUCAUUGCACUCCCUGCUGUUUGAAGCCAUUACCCAUAUGAUCCCUUUGCCGUUACAAAAACCUACAUUCCUUUACCAAACCAAUUAUCAAAUCAUCAAACCUUUUCACUCCUGGAUUCACAAACCGCUGAUUCGUACCCUCACUUCAUCGUCAUUGUAUCGUUCAAAUUAAUAAAUAGGACAUCAUCAUACAAAUUCAAAUAUAUAUUCAAAUAUUAAAAAAAAUACGAAAUGCAUCUGCCACAAUUUUUGUUCUUACCCAACGUAAAGUCUUUGUCUUCUGCAUUGUCAUAUACAGGGCAAUGACUCGUUGGUAACCUGCCUAACUAUGUGAUAAUCACUUUUCUUUUGUAAAGAAAAGAAUAUUGUGAUAUUUCAGUGUUAAUAGUUAGGUAAGGCAAUAAAGCAUUUUUAAAAGUU